UGACAUAACUUGGAACUCUAAA
Molecule: microRNA, 22 nt
Filed under: Euprymna scolopes
Lineage: Eukaryota; Metazoa; Mollusca; Cephalopoda; Sepiida; Sepiolidae
Description: Esc-Mir-12525_5p (mature (guide))
Source: RNAcentral